AAAAAGUCAGGUCGGAUUAAGCCAUAGUACGGGAAAAACUAUGCUACCUGUGAGCCCCGUCCAAGGACGUUAAAAGAAGUCAGGCCACUACAAGUGCCAUAACUUGAGCAAACUAUGCAGCCUGUAGCUCCACCUGGGAAGGUGUAAAAAAUCUGGGAGGCCACAAACCAUGGAAGCUGUACGCAUGGCGUAGUGGACUAGCGGUUAGAGGAGACCCCUCCCUUGCAAAUCGCAGCAACAAUGGGGGCCCAAGGUGAGAUGAAGCUGUAGUCUCACUGGAAGGACUAGAGGUUAGAGGAGACCCCCCCGAAACAAAAAACAGCAUAUUGACGC
RNAcentral lists this long non-coding RNA (333 nucleotides) under dengue virus type 2. Its description in RNAcentral is "Dengue virus type 2 partial sfRNA1". The stretch from base 243 to 314 matches the Rfam family "Flavivirus DB element". The record is from RNAcentral. Lineage: Riboviria; Orthornavirae; Kitrinoviricota; Flasuviricetes; Amarillovirales; Flaviviridae.